CCAGAGAAUGCCAUGCCUGGCCCACACCCUUCAGCUCACACUGAAAGAUGCCAUGAAGCACCCAAGUGCUGAUUCAGUCAUAACGAAAGCAAGAAAGCUGGUACACGCUGUGAGGAAUUCGUCAGUGGCAAAUGAAGAAAUGAUCAAAAGGUGUAGCAAAACUCUGGUCCAGGAUUGUAGCACACGCUGGAACAGCACUUUGGAUAUGCUUAGAAGACUGCUGGAGCCCAGAGCUGAACUAGACCAACUACUUGAGGAUUUGGGCAUGGACACACUUCUCACAAGCGAUUGGGCUAAGCUGGAGAACCUUGUCAAGCUGCUUGAUCCCAUUGCCAUUCGCACAGACCAGCUUCAGAGUGACAGCCAGUCACUCUCACAAGUAGUGCUAUGCCUGCUCAACCUUGAGGCACACCUGCUGACGACUACUGUUGGGAAGCAACUAGCUGAAGUCCUUGCGAGAACAUUUCGCUGGCAUUCUUAGCCCUGAUUCCACACAGUUUUAUGCUACACCAGCAGGAGCCUGCCUGAUGGAUCCAAGUGUUUCGCUGGUUCUUCAAUCACCAGACACAGUGCCACUGAGGAGGGCAGCACAGUCCUUUGUGGAGAACCUGGCAGCUAAGUAUAACCCCACUACUGCUCCUCAGGAUGAUGUUGCCACUGCAAGGGCCACUCAAACUCCAACAGGAGCCUCUCCUACUGUUCUUCAGAAAUACCACUUCCUUGCAGCCUAUAUAGAGGUCAACAUGUCAUCCACAAAUCAGCCUAACGUGACCGAUAGUCUGUUGACCGAAAUGAAGUAUGUCAACAGCAUCAAACAGGAUGUGUUUAAUGAGACACCAUUGCAGUUCUGGAAAACAAGAGAGGCUGUCUAUCCAAAACUUUCCCCUGUGGCAUUUGAUCUCGUUACCGCCCCUGCCUCACAAGCCUUUGUGGAGCGCAUCUUCUCUGUGUGUGGAGUGCUGUCACUUGGCCUGAGAAACAGAACAACCACAUCUCUGGAGCAACGGGUUUUCCUCAAGAUCCACAAGAAAUUGUUGCUUGACUGAAGUACACCCAUCUCUCUCUUUCUCACCCGCCCACUGUGAUGGUGCCGGUUCUUCCGGUUGCCGUCUGCCGGACUCUGCUCCUGGUUUUCUUUUUUCUCAUUCCCAGGUAUGGGUAGGUGGGUGGAGCCGUGGAGAGCUGGCACUAAUUCCAUGAUUGAAUACACCUGGAGGCUCUGCUGGAGGCCUAUUUAAGAAGAGCCUGCUCUCCAUUAUGAACUUCCUCUCUUCCCUCUUGAACGGACGCUUUGUUUGAUUUUGUAUUUUACUUUUGCUCAUACACACAUACAUGCACCACACUCAGAUCAAACCAUGUACAUACACCUGCUGUGACACAUAGCCCAUACCAUGUUUACAUUUGUUGGUAUUUGGUUUGUUUGUUGAACUUAAAAUAAAUUAGUUUGUUAUUGUUUUAAACUAGUGGUGGUCUCCCCUUUUAUGUCUUAGUCAUACAAGCCUGACUGUCACAUAUGGGGGCUCGUCCUAACGUUGUUUGUUUUUGUAUGGCCUUGUUGCCCUGUUUCGCAUCGAGUGAGUUUGGUGCACUGUGGCGGUGUUUUCCAACAGUAGCUCCGUCUUUGCGGGGGGGUGUGCGUGCCUGCCCCGUGGUUGGUAAGGACUCGUGGUGGUUUUUUUGAGUCUGGUUGUUGUCUCAUCCAGUUUUGAUGCCUGGAUUGGUUUGCAAGCCCCUAGACUGUUUGCUACCUGCGUCCUGGGAGAGGAAGUGUGAUCGGUUCUAGGUUCCACAAGGACUGGAACUGCCCGCCCCGUUUUCAUCUGCCCUGGUCCUUCGAGAGGUGAGUUGGUGUCUGGAGGAGUUGUCUCGUUCAAAUAACGACCAGUCAGAAAAUGCUCAAAAUAUAGAGGCAUAUGAUUUGGAGAUAAAACACAUUAAUGGUACUGCAAACAUCAUUGCUGAUGCACUCAGCCGCGCGCUGGUUUAGCAUCGGUUUUCAGUGGUGUGGAGGGAGGUACAGAUGUUGGACGUGGAGAGGACGUGGGAUUUGGCAAUAAAGUGCUGUUCGGACGUGACCAGUGAGCCUGGAUCACCAAUCUGGGGAAAGAAACCUUCCCUCGUUUUGCCUUCUCCGUUUUUCUCUCUCUCCCGCUGUCAGGCUGUACAUCCAAGCACGCGUUUUUAGUGCAUUACAGUCUGGCGAUUGGGAGUGAGUCUUCGUGAGUGACACAUAGCCUAACAUACCCCAUACCAUGUUUACAUUUGUUGGUAUUUGGUUUGUUUUUUGAAGUUAAAUUAAAUUAGUUUGUUAUUGUUUCAAACUGGUGGUGGUCUCCCCUUUUAUGUCGUGGUCAUACGAGCCUGACUGUGACACACACACACACACACUCUUGAAACCUUGAAAAGCUGUAUUUGAAACAGCUGAUUCAUUCAUAAUGGAAGGACUUCAAAAUUUUUUAGUUUACAAUGUUGGACACAAGGCUAUGUAAACUUAACAUAGAAAAGCAAAUCACAUAAGCUCCCAUUUGAGAUGGAGCAUUAUCUUGCCAGCUGGCUCUGUGUACUACCAGGUGCAUGUGCACUGUAAGUGUCCAAAACAUUCAAUGUAUUAAUGAUGUCAAGUACAACAUGUGAGGUAUUGUAUUGUUAAUCAACUGCAAUGAUUUGCCAUAUAGCUGCAGCACCUUCAUCUAGUGCUGGGCAGUCAAAUUUGUUGAUUACUUAAUUUUGAGUUGGUUCAUCUAAAUUAAUCAGACCUCUAUAGUUUAUUGGGUUUUUGAGUUUUUUCAUGGUUUUUUUUCUCAGAUUGAGCUCCCUGAGACUCCUGGCCCCCAAGGAAUGUCAUGUGUGGCCCAUGAAUGGGUUUAAUACAUGCUGUUCAUGUGUGUCUUUAGUCUACUGGCUAUUUUGAUAAUUUAGUGAAACCUUGGCUUUAGUUUGUCUCACUGGUGUAGCAGCCAGCCAUCACUGCUUUACUCCAUUCCAGUGCUUAUUACUUGACUGAGUGAGUGAGUGGGCAGGGGAAAUGGAAGGAAUGAGAAGGGCAGCCCAGCUUGGUUCAGGGAACUCAAACUACAGUAUUCUGAGCUUUCUGAUUGGAACUCAUGAGUAGGAGAUGUUCAAAUAUAUUUUCCCAGUACAUACCAAACUUAAAUUGUUCAAAAUGAUUUGUUCAUUCACACUACUUGCAUCUCACCUCAGAA
Molecule: long non-coding RNA, 3203 nt
Organism: Anguilla rostrata (American eel)
Lineage: Eukaryota; Metazoa; Chordata; Actinopteri; Anguilliformes; Anguillidae
Exons: 5
Source: RefSeq, a predicted model, not a curated record